AUCACAUAAAAUGUUUAAAUUUAAACAGGGUAAAGCAAUUGGAGAAAGAGAAACCCAGCUUUGUCCAGUUAUUUGAUUCAACUUGUUAGUCAAAAAGAGAUUUGGGAACCUGAGUUGACGCCACCAGCAUAAGAUAAAUUCGAUAUGGGGAGCAUCUUUUCUGCACAUUCAUUGUAAAUCACAAAUUGGUCCCGAACCAACCAAUCAAAUCAACAACCUUGGACAUUUCACAACGAUAGAAACGCCCAAAAGAGUUUAGUUUUGCAAAUUUGGGAUACUUUUUAUUCCUUUCACCAAAAUAGAGUGAGCAUCUUUCUUUCCUUUCAUCCGAAAAGCUUCUAUUCAGUUUCAUGUCUGCCUCUCUCCCUCAGUUCAGUCUCUUUUCCUAGUGAUCAUCAUAUUCCACACCUCUAUCAAAGCCCACUUUGAUGUAACAUAAUCCCAAUCUCCAAUUUUAUUCCGUGAGUGUGUGCUUGGGU
Molecule: long non-coding RNA, 479 nt
Filed under: Daucus carota (carrot)
Lineage: Eukaryota; Viridiplantae; Streptophyta; Magnoliopsida; Apiales; Apiaceae
Description: long non-coding RNA (DCAR_LNC004548)
Source: RNAcentral